This 460-nucleotide ribosomal RNA is filed under the name uncultured bacterium. Its description in RNAcentral is "partial 16S ribosomal RNA". It matches the Rfam family "Bacterial small subunit ribosomal RNA", at positions 338 to 795 of the family's 1533-position model. The record is from RNAcentral.
CCUACGGGUGGCAGCAGUGAGGAAUAUUGGACAAUGGGCGCAAGCCUGAACCAGCCAAGCAGCGUGAAGGAUGACGGCCCUAGGGGUGGUAAACUUCUUUUAGAUGGGAAUAAAGUGCAGUAUGUAUACUGCUUUGCACGUACCUUAUGAAUAAGGAACGGCUAACUCCGUGCCAGCAGCCGCGGUAAUACGGAGGAUCCGAGCGUUAUCCGGAUUUAUUGGGUGUAAAGGGAGCGUAGGCGGGUUGGUAAGUCAGUUGUGAAAGUUUGCGGCUCAACCGUAGAACUGCAGUUGAUACUGGCAUCCUUGAGUACAGUAGAGGUAGGCGGAAUUCGUGGUGUAGCGGUGAAAUGCGUAGAUAUCAGGAAGAACUCCGAUUGCGAAGGCAGCCUGCUGGACUGUAACUGACGCUGAUGCUCGAAAGUGUCGGUAUCAAACAGGAUUAGAUACCCGUGUAGUC